This is a long non-coding RNA of Xenopus laevis (African clawed frog), 1227 nucleotides long. RefSeq lists it as uncharacterized. Lineage: Eukaryota; Metazoa; Chordata; Amphibia; Anura; Pipidae. The record is from RefSeq and is a predicted model, not a curated record. The transcript has 2 exons.
CUUGUCAUCAGCCAAUCAGAACCAUUCCCCAUUUGGGUCAAUGGCAUAGAAACAGUAUAACAAUGGUUGGUCUUUGGCUGAAAGGGUUUUAGUAAGCAGAGGAGAAGAGGAAGGGAAGAAGAGGGAGAUAGAGAGGGAAGUAAGUAUAACCUGUGGGCACAUUUUGAAAGAUCUCUAUCAUUUGCUGUCUCUGGGCUGGAUAAUCUGAAUAAAUAGUUUCAUCUCUGGGAACCUUGGUUGCAUCUUUUACCUGGCUGUGGUAAAUUGCGGACUCUACACAUCUCCUAACACUAUACGGAUACUUGGAUAUAUCUAUAAAAGAUACAACAUUUUGGUGCCGUGACUAGUGACCAGAAGAAGCGUUAAGGAUUAGUGACCCAAAAGCCUGCAAGCCCUGUGGAGCCCUGAAAGGAAGGAAGGUUGGAACCCUAGGACUGUGGUCUGGACACUGGUGACCGUGAACCUCAAGGGUUGUUAUAUCUUUCAGGAAAAGGUCUUCCAGCAGAAGGAUCAAUGUACCUGAAUCUUUGGUCAUUACUUUUACCAUUUUUCAUACCACAAUUAAGUAGGACUGGAGAUAAUCAAAUCAUGCUGAACUGUUUUAAAAAUUUUCUUUAUGGUUUCCUAACAUUUGAUGGAUGGGAGUGGCAAAAGCACAGGUCUAUCCUGCAAAAAAAAUGCUCAAGGAACCAAAGCUUUCAAGUGGGGGAGUGAAUACAUUAACAUAAUAAUUAAGGAAAGGUGUUGGAGCUGGACACCACAGAGCAAGCUUUGAAUGGAUACAGUAGUGCAGUGGGCUGGAUACUGUUGUGAUUUCAAAAUAUGUUCUACAGAAUUCCUCUGAGUUAGUUUUUCCCGAAAUGAAACAGGUUGUGAUUGUGAUUGACUAAAGAUGUGUGAAUGUUAUCUGAUGUCGAGUAUCUCAAUCCUAUGUGAAAAGAUAGGAAGUAAACUCAUUAACAUACAAAAAGGACAUGUUUGCAAAGUUUCUAAAAACACUUAAAACUUUUGCUUAUGCAUUUACAUUACUGUUAUUCCAUGUUUUUCUUUCUGUAUACUGUACAUGUUUUGUUUUAAUGUAUAAAAAAAAAAUCCCAGAGAGUUGCCCAGAGAUAGUACAAAUAUAUUUAUGUGUAUCUGCCUAGGGAUACUAAACAAGGGCUCACAUUUAGCAUAUGGUCAAUAGAGGGUAUUGGGAGCUAAAUGUAUAGACAUGGGUGGAUUUAG